UCAGAUUAAAAGCCUCCAGGAUUUUUUAGCUUUCUACCUGAACAAUAUUGGUGUAUAUGGAGGAAGGUAUACGUAAGCAGAUUGGGGCUUCAGUUGAAAUAGCUAGCUGGGAAUCCCAUUCACCUGUGACUUUCGCUGUUAUUUAUGGUUCUCUUUUUUCUCUCUCCACCCCAUUUUAUAUUGGAAAGAUCAAACAUCUUUGAGCUAAAUAGUUUAAAUUUCAGCAAGAAGGCCUUGAAGGAGAAAUCACACGAAGAUCACUGACACACUCAUCAUGGGAUUUAUCAUCCACUGCAGACCGUGAACGCCGUGGAUGGCACCCUAUGACAUACAAAUAUUCAGAUGCUACUCCCAUGCUUAUUAAAUCUAUAAAGGAUGUAGAUAAUAUCUACUAUGAGACCGAGUAUCGAAGAGAAUGGUGUAGCAGCAAGGAGAAACCCUCUCCAUGCUUUCUUUUUGCCAGAAAAUUUACCCGGCCUGCUGCUCUCAGGCUUCUCAACACGACUACACUGGAGCUUAGAUGAAGGACUAAAUUCUAA
This is a long non-coding RNA of Rosa chinensis, 539 nucleotides long. RefSeq lists it as uncharacterized. The record is from RefSeq and is a predicted model, not a curated record. NCBI's taxonomy places the organism in Eukaryota, Viridiplantae, Streptophyta, Magnoliopsida, Rosales, Rosaceae. The transcript has 3 exons.